UUGAUCCUUAAAUCUGGUUAAAACUCUUAUUUUUGAAGUUGGAUUUUGAGUUGGUUCGAGGAAGAAGACGAAGUCGUGCGCGUUUUUUUUUAAUUUGAAAAUAUCGAUUGUUGUGUUCUAAUUGGUUUAUGCGCGCGAAGUCCAUUUAUUUAUUGUUUUUUUAUUUGUGAGCGUGUUUUACUAUCACAAUUGGGCCAUUGACCUAGUGGGUGAAGGGAUGGAUUAUCCCAUGACCCUAAGUUCAGGGGUUUGAUCCUAGUGUGUUCACCCUGAAC
RNAcentral lists this long non-coding RNA (275 nucleotides) under Lathyrus oleraceus (garden pea). RNAcentral describes it as "Pisum sativum (pea) long non-coding RNA (PSAT_LNC013365)". Lineage: Eukaryota; Viridiplantae; Streptophyta; Magnoliopsida; Fabales; Fabaceae. The record is from RNAcentral.